RNAcentral lists this ribosomal RNA (465 nucleotides) under uncultured bacterium. RNAcentral's name for it is "bacterial SSU rRNA". It matches the Rfam family "Bacterial small subunit ribosomal RNA", at positions 338 to 795 of the family's 1533-position model. The record is from RNAcentral.
CCUACGGGGCGCACCAGUGGGGAAUAUUGCACAAUGGGCGCAAGCCUGAUGCUGCCAUGCCGCGUGUAUGAAGAAGGCCUUCGGGUUGUAAAGUACUUUCAGCGGGGAGGAAGGCGUUGUGGUUAAUAUCCACAGCAAUUGACGUUACCCGCAGAAGAAGCACCGGCUAACUCCGUGCCAGCAGCCGCGGUAAUACGGAGGGUGCAAGCGUUAAUCGGAAUUACUGGGCGUAAAGCGCACGCAGGCGGUCUGUCAAGUCGGAUGUGAAAUCCCCGGGCUCAACCUGGGAACUGCAUUCGAAACUGGCAGGCUAGAGUCUUGUAGAGGGGGGUAGAAUUCCAGGUGUAGCGGUGAAAUGCGUAGAGAUCCGGAGGAAUACCGCUGGCGAAGGCGGCCCCCUGGACAAAGACUGACGCUCAGGUGCGAAAGCGUGGGGAGCAAACAGGAUUAGAUACCCUAGUAGUC